UUUUUUUUUUGUGUUAACGGCUACACACGUCGCUACAAUGGGCUGGUACAGAGAGAUGCAAUACCGCGAGGUGGAGCCAAACUUAAAAACCAGUCUCAGUUCGGAUUGUAGGCUGAAACUCGCCUACAUGAAGCUGGAGUUACUAGUAAUCGCGAAUCAGAAUGUCGCGGUGAAUACGUUCCCGGGUCUUGUACACACCGCCCGUCACACCAUGAGAGUUGGCAAUACCCGAAGUCCGUGAGCUAACCGCAAGGAGGCAGCGGCCGAAGGUAGGGUCAGCGAUUGGGGUGAAGUCGUAACAAGGUAGCCGUAGGAGAACCUGCGGUUGGAUCACCUCCUAAAAAGCU
RNAcentral lists this ribosomal RNA (347 nucleotides) under Salmonella enterica subsp. enterica serovar Typhimurium. Its description in RNAcentral is "partial 16S ribosomal RNA". It matches the Rfam family "Bacterial small subunit ribosomal RNA", at positions 1194 to 1533 of the family's 1533-position model. The record is from RNAcentral. Lineage: Bacteria; Pseudomonadati; Pseudomonadota; Gammaproteobacteria; Enterobacterales; Enterobacteriaceae.